This 72-nucleotide transfer RNA is filed under the name Stegodyphus mimosarum. It matches the Rfam family "tRNA". From Rfam's summary of the family: Transfer RNA (tRNA) molecules are approximately 80 nucleotides in length. Their secondary structure includes four short double-helical elements and three loops (D, anti-codon, and T loops). Further hydrogen bonds mediate the characteristic L-shaped molecular structure. tRNAs have two regions of fundamental functional importance: the anti-codon, which is responsible for specific mRNA codon recognition, and the 3' end, to which the tRNAs corresponding amino acid is attached (by aminoacyl-tRNA synthetases). tRNAs cope with the degeneracy of the genetic code in two manners: having more than one tRNA (with a specific anti-codon) for a particular amino acid; and 'wobble' base-pairing, i.e. permitting non-standard base-pairing at the 3rd anti-codon position. Lineage: Eukaryota; Metazoa; Arthropoda; Arachnida; Araneae; Eresidae. The record is from Rfam by way of RNAcentral.
GCUUUCGUGGUGUAGUGGUCAGCACACUGGGCGCAUAUUCCAGAGCUCCUGGUUCGAGUCCCGGCGAAGGCG